This is a long non-coding RNA of Trematomus bernacchii (emerald rockcod), 490 nucleotides long. RefSeq lists it as uncharacterized. Lineage: Eukaryota; Metazoa; Chordata; Actinopteri; Perciformes; Nototheniidae. The transcript has 3 exons. The record is from RefSeq and is a predicted model, not a curated record.
UAACCAAUCUGUAACCAUACAUGAAUGCAGCUCUUGUGGUAAAGCCACAAACUCCAGAUCUCCCCUGUCAAAAUGCCAGACUCCAAUGAAGCAGUUCCAGCAUCAUGCCAGGUCAUCAAACAGGACUUUGACAAAUGUGUCAGAGAGAAGGGAAAGGACGCCUGCAAAGAUCUGAUGGACGCCUUCCAGUCCUGUUUAAAAACCCUGUCUGAGGGAUCAUGAUACGUAAGGAAGUAAAUCUUCAUCAAAUCUUCACUUUACCCAAUCCUCCACUUUUCCCAGCAUUCCCUUCACUGCUGAUUUCACCGGACCGAACCAUCAGAAAAACUGAAGAGGGGGGUGCUGAUACUGAACGUUGUGAAAUACUGUAUUCUUCUGUCAAUGUGAAACCUUUUUUGUCAUAACUGUGAUAACUCCAUUAUGGAUUCUACUCUGACACUGAUACACUCUGCACUGUAACCUUUCUUGCACAAAAAUGCAAUAAAUAAAA